GAUGAAGAACGUAGCAAAAUGCGAUACUUGGUGUGAAUUGCAGAAUCCCGUGAACCAUCGAGUUUUUGAACGCAAGUUGCGCCCGAAGCCUUUUGGCCGAGGGCACGUCUGCCUGGGCGUCACGCAUCGCGUCGCCCCCCAUAAUUCUCCGUAAGGGGAACUCGUGUUUUGGGGGCGGAUAUUGGUCUCCCGUGCUCACGGCGUGGUUGGCCGAAAUAGGAGUCCCUUCGAUGGACGCACGAACUAGUGGUGGUCGUAAAAACCCUCGUCUUUUGUUUCGUGCUGUUAGUCGCAAGGGAAACUCUAAGAACACCCCAGCGUGUCGUCUUUUGACGGCGCUUCGACCGCGACCCCAGGUCAGGCGGGACUACCAGCUGAGUUUAAGCAUAUCAAUAAGCGGAGGA
RNAcentral lists this unclassified non-coding RNA (404 nucleotides) under soil metagenome. Its description in RNAcentral is "partial contains 5.8S ribosomal RNA, internal transcribed spacer 2, and large subunit ribosomal RNA". The stretch from base 1 to 122 matches the Rfam family "5.8S ribosomal RNA", at positions 35 to 154 of the family's 154-position model. The record is from RNAcentral.